This is a small nucleolar RNA of Phyllostomus hastatus (greater spear-nosed bat), 79 nucleotides long. RefSeq annotates it as small nucleolar RNA SNORD96 family. The record is from RefSeq and is a predicted model, not a curated record. Lineage: Eukaryota; Metazoa; Chordata; Mammalia; Chiroptera; Phyllostomidae. The transcript has a single exon.
GAUCCUGGUGAUGAUAGGUGACAUUGUCGGCCAAUCCCCAUGCGGGAAUGAGGACAUGUCCUGCAAUUCUGAAAGGAUC